RNAcentral lists this ribosomal RNA (430 nucleotides) under uncultured bacterium. RNAcentral's name for it is "bacterial SSU rRNA". It matches the Rfam family "Bacterial small subunit ribosomal RNA", at positions 355 to 776 of the family's 1533-position model. The record is from RNAcentral.
UCGAGAGGCUUCGGCAAUGGGGGAAACCCUGACCGAGCGACGCCGCGUGAGGGAUGAAGGCCCUUGGGUUGUAAACCUCUUUUGUUCGGGAAGAAGUGCGAUCAGGUGAACAAUCUGGUCGUUUGACGGUACCGGACGAAUAAGCUCCGGCUAACUCCGUGCCAGCAGCCGCGGUAACACGGGGGGAGCAAGCGUUGUUCGGAAUCACUGGGCGUAAAGGGCGUGUAGGCGGUCAGGUAAGUGGGAUGUGAAAUGCCCCGGCUCACCCGGGGACCGGCAUCCCAAACUGCCUGGCUUGAGUAUGGGAGAGGAUGAGGGAAUUCCUGGUGUAGCGGUGAAAUGCGUAGAUAUCAGGAGGAACACCGGUGGCGAAGGCGCUCAUCUGGCCCAAUACUGACGCUGAGGCGCGAAAGCUAGGGGAGCAAACGGG